This is a long non-coding RNA of Camelus dromedarius (Arabian camel), 280 nucleotides long. RefSeq lists it as uncharacterized. The transcript has 3 exons. The record is from RefSeq and is a predicted model, not a curated record. NCBI's taxonomy places the organism in Eukaryota, Metazoa, Chordata, Mammalia, Artiodactyla, Camelidae.
UCUAGGAUGGUAUGGACAAUCUGAUUUGGAUUGCAGAGAGCUAAAUGGCUCCUAUGUUGUGGCAUAAUAUUUUCUCUUUAUCCUCUGUGGGUACCUCUGUGUGUCAGAGAACUGAGAAAGACUCACCACAGCUACUCAAGGAAGAUGGAACCAGAAUGAGAAAUUUUCCACUUGGACUCGGGAAAAGGAAUGAAGGAAAAAGUUCUUAACGGACACUACCCAAGAGCACGAUGACAGGCACAGAAGUGACAAGGAAUUCUGAAAGUCCAGAGGUGAGUGA